RNAcentral lists this ribosomal RNA (496 nucleotides) under uncultured bacterium. Its description in RNAcentral is "bacterial SSU rRNA". It matches the Rfam family "Bacterial small subunit ribosomal RNA", at positions 28 to 524 of the family's 1533-position model. The record is from RNAcentral.
GACGAACGCUGGCGGCGCGCCUAACACAUGCAAGUCGAGCGGGAAGCUUUUUAAGGAUUCUUCGGAUGAAUUAAAAAGUGGAGAGCGGCGGACGGGUGAGUAACGCGUGAGAAACCUGCCCUAUACAGGGGGAUAGCCAUUGGAAACGAUGAUUAAUACCCCAUAUGACCACAGUAUCGCAUGAUACAGCGGUGAAAACUCCGGUGGUAUAGGAUGGUCUCGCGUCUGAUUAGCUAGUUGGUGGGGUAACGGCCUACCAAGGCGACGAUCAGUAGCCGGCCUGAGAGGGUGACCGGCCACACUGGGAACUGAGACACGGUCCAGACUCCUACGGGAGGCAGCAGUGGGGAAUAUUGCACAAUGGGCGAAAGCCUGAUGCAGCGACGCCGCGUGAACGAUGAAGGCUUUCGAGUCGUAAAGUUCUGUUCUUGGGGAAGAUAACGACGGUACCCAAGGAGAAAGCACCGGCUAAAUACGUGCCAGCAGCCGCGGUAAU